This 74-nucleotide transfer RNA is filed under the name Marmota monax (woodchuck). Its description in RNAcentral is "tRNA.Ala". It matches the Rfam family "tRNA". From Rfam's summary of the family: Transfer RNA (tRNA) molecules are approximately 80 nucleotides in length. Their secondary structure includes four short double-helical elements and three loops (D, anti-codon, and T loops). The record is from RNAcentral. Lineage: Eukaryota; Metazoa; Chordata; Mammalia; Rodentia; Sciuridae.
GGGGAUAUAGCUCAGUUGCUAGAGUAUUUACCUUGCAUGCACAAGGCGCUGGGUUCAAUCCCCAGCACUCCUCA